Molecule: long non-coding RNA, 2706 nt
Organism: Cyprinus carpio carpio
Lineage: Eukaryota; Metazoa; Chordata; Actinopteri; Cypriniformes; Cyprinidae
Source: Ensembl
GCAAAAGAUAUAACUACACAAAAAUGUAUUGAAUGUAAUGUCUAUAUCACAAAGACUAUAUUUCAUUUUACAUUUUAUUUCAUUUUUAAAUAACAGGUGAUCUUACCAUUUCAGGACACUCGCCGGAAUCUUCUAAAAAUUUAUUUUCCUUCAUUGCGCGCUGCAUCGUCUCAGCAAAACUCGGGUCCACCAUUAAAACCUUCUGACCACCGAGUGUAGAAAACUUGCAGUCACUCUUCCUCGAGUCAGUCGUCAUGCACACUUCAUAAUUAUACCCGUGCGGCAGAGUUCCAGUGACUCCUGUGUCUGCGUAAUGCGGUGGAUAGUACGGAAUAACAGGCAGAUUGGAUUGAUAUAAGAAGCGAGAUUGUCUCCAUCUGUAGAUCUUUACUGAUAUUAUCACAACCACACAUGUGAUAAAUAGGAAAGAAACUGCAGCCAGUGCGAGAACUAAAUAAAAGGUCAGGUUCUCGUCAUACUGUUUUUCAUGCGUAAAGUCUGUGAACUCUGACAGCACUUCAGGAAAGCUGUCAGCCACAGCUACGUUAAUGGAGACCACAGCUGAGCGAGAGGGCUGUCCGUUAUCCUCCACAACAACAGUCAGUUUUUGUUUGACAGCAUCUUUAUCAGUCACUUGUCGCACAGUUCUUAUUUCUCCAUUCUGUAAACCCACUUCAAACAGCGCUCUGUCUGUAGCUUUCUGUAGUUUAUAGGAGAGCCAGGCAUUCUGUCCAGAGUCCACAUCAACAGCCACCACUUUAGUGACCAGAUAUCCAACAUCUGCAGCACGAGGCACAAUCUCAGCCACCACAGAAGCACCAGUCUGUACUGGAUACAGAACCUGAGGAGCGUUGUCAUUCUGAUCUUGAAUAUUGAUAGUUAUUGUCACUUCAGAGCUCAAGGGCGGGGAUCCUCCAUCUCGAGCUGUCACGUUAAAAGCAAACGAUUUCAACUGUUCAAAAUCAAACGAUUUAACUGAAUGAAUAGUGCCUGUAAGUGAAUCUACGGAAACGAGAGAACUUAAUGGUGCACCACGCAUGUCUUGAUCCUUCAGGAAGUAGGACAAUUGCGCAUUGGGACCCCAGUCAGCAUCAUUUGCUUUAACAGUCAGUAUAGUGAGACCAGGAGAAUUGUUUUCACUAACAAAUGUUUUAUAUUCCUCAAACUGGAAUACUGGCGGAUUGUCAUUGACAUCAGAUAUUUUUACAUUAAGUGUUUUGUUUGCGUAACGCGCAGGACUUCCUUGGUCUGAUACCAAGAUUGUUAUAUUAUAUUCAGCAAGACUUUCUCGAUCAAGCAUAUCAUCAGUAACCAAAGUGUAAUAUUCCGCUAGAGAUGACUCAAUUUUAAAAGGUAUAUUUUUAUUUAUUGAGCAUUGAACAAGGCCAUUUUUACCAGAAUCUGCGUCCUCUACGUUAAUGACGGCUACAGUUGUUCCCACUGGGGAAUUUUCAGGAAGAGUGUUUGAGAAUGACAUCACCUGUAUGGUUGGAGAGUUGUCAUUCUCAUCAAUGACAUCUAUAACGAUUUUACAAGUAUCCGACAGGCCACCUUUAUCUCUCGCAUUAAUAUUUAACUGAAAUCUAUUUUGAGAUUCAUAAUCUAAAUUAUUAAGAAGUCUAAUCUCACCUGUAUCUGAGUGUAUCCCAAAAAGCUCACUUGUUUCUUUGCUUGCAACAGCGAAUGAAUAGGAAACAUGGCCAUUUACACCUUCGUCAGCAUCAGCAGCACUAAUAAUACCUAUGACAGUACCAGCAGGUGAAUUUUCCCUAACUUCAGUUUUAAAUACUGACUGUUUACACACUGGGGCAUUAUCAUUGGCAUCCAAAACAGUAACGUGAAUUUUUACAGUGCCUGAUUUCUGAGGUGAUCCACCAUCAUUUGCCACAAGAACCAAUUGAAUCUCAUCGCGCUCCUCUCGGUCUAGUUCUCGUUGUAAAACCAUCUCAAUGUAUUUGUUGUCAUCGGUCUGACUAUGAACCUCCAGUUUAAAACUAUCAGUUGGAUGUAGUUUAUAGCUCUGUAUACCGUUUAGACCUACAUCUGUAUCUAUAGCGCUGUCUAAAGGAAAGCGAGCUCCUAAAACCGCAUUUUCGGUAAUAUUCAAAUUAACAUUUUCUUUUGGAAAUAACGGAGCAUUAUCGUUUAUAUCUUGCACCUCAAUUGUGACUCGAUGGAGCUGGAUAGGGUUUUCAAUGAUAAGAUCAAAGCUGAAGCUGCAAGGCGUCAUCUGCUUGCAGAGCUCCUCGCGAUCUAUCCUUUCUUUAACUACAAGGGUCCCUUUGUCUCUGCUCAGAUCGACAUACUGUCGUCCGCCCUUUGUAACGACGCGAGCUUUUCCAGAUAUGAGUCUACUUAUCUCUAUCCCCAGAUCCUUGGCGAUGUUUCCAACGAAUGAUCCCCCUGGCAUUUCCUCCGGGAUGGAAUAUCUCGCAUUGCAAUAUACGACGUCCACUCCGUAAAAGCAGAGAAUGAAAAACACAACCUUCCAUUUUGAAUGUACGGAAUCCAUCCAUUGAUUGAGUAAAUUUCUCGACAACCUUAAGAAAACCAUCCUGAGAAACUGUGUCGUCAAACGAAGAGUGGAACAAGUAAGAAAAGCCAUUAAAAUCCUAAAUCCGCAAUUAAGCAUUCAUGUUAUUUCCAUCGGGGGAAAAAAACGCUGCAUUUGCCCAACCUACAAACACGUCAGUAAGUGACUGGCAG